This 537-nucleotide ribosomal RNA is filed under the name uncultured bacterium. RNAcentral describes it as "bacterial SSU rRNA". It matches the Rfam family "Bacterial small subunit ribosomal RNA", at positions 948 to 1482 of the family's 1533-position model. The record is from RNAcentral.
AAUUCGAGGCAACGCGAAGAACCUUACCUGGACUUGACAUAUAAUUGACAGCUCUUGAAAGAGAGUUUUUCUUCGGAACAGUUAUACAGGUGCUGCAUGGCUGUCGUCAGCUCGUGCUGUGAAGUGUUCGGUUAAGCCCGGCAACGAGCGCAACCCACGUCGUUAGUUACCAUCAAGUAAUGUUGGGGACUCUAACGAGACUGCCUGUGUUAAGCAGGAGGAAGGCGUGGAUGACGUCAAGUCAGUAUGGCCCUUAUGUCCAGGGCUGCACACGUGCUACAAUGGCUACUACAGAGGGAAGCAAAGCUGCGAAGUGGAGCAAAUCCGUAAAAGUAGUCUAAGUUCGGAUUGGAGUCUGCGACUCGACUCCAUGAAGUCGGAAUCGCUAGUAAAGGCGUAUCAGCUACGACGCCUUGAAUACGUUCCCGGGUCUUGUACACACCGCCCGUCACAUCAUGGAAGUUGAUUGCACCCGAAGUCGUUGACCUAACUCAAUUUGAGAAGGAGGCGCCUAAGGUGUGGUUAGUAACUGGGAUG